UACUGAGCGGCGGACGGGUGAGUAACGCGUGGGUAACCUGCCUCAUACAGGGGGAUAACAGUUGGAAACGGCUGCUAAUACCGCAUAAGCGCACAGUACCGCAUGGUACGGUGUGAAAAACUCCGGUGGUAUGAGAUGGACCCGCGUCUGAUUAGGUAGUUGGUGGGGUAACGGCCUACCAAGCCGACGAUCAGUAGCCGACCUGAGAGGGUGACCGGCCACAUUGGGACUGGGACACGGCCCAA
Molecule: ribosomal RNA, 245 nt
Filed under: uncultured bacterium
Lineage: Bacteria
Description: partial 16S ribosomal RNA
Rfam family: Bacterial small subunit ribosomal RNA
Source: RNAcentral